This is a long non-coding RNA of Phyllopteryx taeniolatus (common seadragon), 1547 nucleotides long. RefSeq lists it as uncharacterized. The transcript has 3 exons. The record is from RefSeq and is a predicted model, not a curated record. NCBI's taxonomy places the organism in Eukaryota, Metazoa, Chordata, Actinopteri, Syngnathiformes, Syngnathidae.
AAUGUCUGCUUUGAAUUAGAAAAACAUAAAGGCCACUUUUAGUCGGCUUUAUUCGUCCGAGGAACCGAAAAGCUAAUUAGUUCGCAAGUUCCUCGAUUAUCAUGUCAACUAUGUCUGAAUUUCCACCACGUCUAUUUUUGAAUCACCUUGCCACCCAACUAUGACGCCUUCCUUUUACGUAGCGCUAGUGGUUAGCAUGUCUGCCUUGUAGUUCUGAGGUUCAGGGUUUGAAUCUUGGCUCCGGGCUUCGCUUGUGGAGUUUGCAUCAUCCGUCCAUCUACUGUAUAUACUGUUUACUGUUUCUUCACACGCAUGACUCCGUAUCACGCGUGCGGUAGACGCCUAGCUGAGGCCAACCUAAGGAGCAGGGGGGCAAUCUUGUGAUGCUGUCAGCGUGAAGUGUCACGUGCGCACUCCCUACUGGCAGUCAAUGGUGGGAAAAGUGUCUGGCUCCUAUACGCUUACCCACCCCCCACCCCACCAUUGACUGUGCAAGAACAUUCAGCUGCCGAGCAAGCGGCGGAAAGCAGACAUGUUGGCGUGUUGCGGCCAAAAAAGACACGCGUGUGCUCAUCGGCUAACGAGGACUCGUGGCCCUGCUAACGAGGACGCGUGGCCCUGCUGUGCGCCUCUGGUCAUCCGCCAUCUUGUAAUCCCUACAGGCACGAGAUGGGAGACUAUCGUUUAACAUCACUUUCAGGAAAUGAAAAAUAUCGGUCGCACAGUUCUCUAAAUAAGAGGCGAAGCGUGCGUGCUUCAAGCUGUUUAUUUGUGACUCACAGGUUCCUCAAGUGCAACUGCGGAGCCACUUGAAAGGCUGAAAAUACCAACAAGCCCUUUCUCUCUCUCCCUCCCUCUCUCUCUCUCGCUCUCUUGGCUUCGCCCACCAACGCAGUCAUCGCACUAUCAACACGACUCGCCGCCCAGACGCUUCUGCUUUCCCGCCGCCUUCACUGUGAGAGUCAAAGUGGUCCAGUUGGUCUAACGUGAAAGGAAAAUCGAUGAAAAAAAGGCGUGACGGUUCACGUCAACGAUGAAGCCUAUACAUGGAAAUUGUCAAUAAUAGUGAACGUGAAACUGUAAAAUAGUCCAUGUCUAUCUAUUACUGAAAUAGUUCACAUUAAAGCAAUAUUGAAACCAAGAUGUCAGCACGAAAUAGUCGUAAAUUUUGAAAAAAAAGUUGCCACUGUUCACAUGUAGAAAACUAUGCUUUUAUGUUAAAACGUCAGUAGUGAACAUGAAACAGCGAAAUAGUUUGCAUUAAAGCAGUACUGAAAACAAAACAAAAAAAAUCCUAUAAUUGCCGAAGACGUUCUGGCUGUUGACAUGUAGAAGACAACAGUUUUAUGUCAGUAGUGAAUGUGAAACUGUGAAACCGUCCACUUUUAUUCUGAAAUAGUCCCCAAUAAAGCAAUAUUAAAAGUUCUCAACACGAAAGAAUAAUCCUAACAUUGACAAAAGGUUCAUCUGUUCAAAUGGAGGAGACUGCGCUUCUACAUAUAAAUGUCAGUAGUGAACAUCAAAUAGCAAAAUAGCCCAUACGUAAU